Molecule: ribosomal RNA, 301 nt
Filed under: uncultured bacterium
Lineage: Bacteria
Description: partial 16S ribosomal RNA
Rfam family: Bacterial small subunit ribosomal RNA
Source: RNAcentral
CAGUCGCCACGGUAAUACGAAGGGGGCUAGCGUUGUUCGGAUUUACUGGGCGUAAAGCGCACGUAGGCGGAUCGAUCAGUCAGGGGUGAAAUCCCAGAGCUCAACUCUGGAACUGCCUUUGAUACUGUCGAUCUCGAGUGUGGAAGAGGUGAGUGGAAUUCCGAGUGUAGAGGUGAAACUCGUAGAUAUUCGGAGGAACACCAGUGGCGAAGGCGGCUCACUGGUCCAUUACUGACGCUGAGGUGCGAAAGUGUGGGGAGCAAACAGGAUUAGAGACCCGUGUAGUCCCUGUCUCUUAUAC